CAUUUUUGGAUCCUCUGAUUUAUUUGAUUGUUAUUCUUCUUUGAUUGUUCUGAUUUAAAUGUUCUACACUUCUUCACAUCAGAUUUGGAGAUAACAUGGUCAUGGCAGAAUUUUUCAGCCACAGUUUCUAUUGGUAAAUUGUAAAACCAGAAAUUAUGGGGGAUGCAAAUUUUGUACUUAGCUGUUAGCACAGACCUGUGGGUUUAAAGUGCCCCAGCUCCUAAAAGGAGAUUGGCUAAAUAUACUGUAGACAAAGAGACAUGGAAGAUUAGCAGUGAUUAAAGGUUCACUAGCCUGAAUAGUGGUUGCAGCUGUAGUGAGAGAGGAGCAUAGCCCGUACAUUUAAAAACCCAGGUAAAGACAAGCACCAUAUAGUUGGAAUACAUUUACAAAUUUUAUUCUGUGUAGCAUUGGAGAACAUCUGUUAGUCUGUUAGAAGUAUUGUCUGUGUAAGUAUAUGUUCUGUUCCCUUAAAACAGUUGGCCAGUUAAAGUAUUUUAGCACGUUUAACUCUAACAGAGUUCAUGGAAUUAAAUUUUCCAUAAACUAGAAUGAACUAAGGAACUAAACAGUAGUGUAGCCUAAUUGGUGUGUGAUGUAUAAAAAAAAACAAAAAACUCACAUGCAGCCUUUGAUGUUGUAAUGCAGUUUGUUCCUGUCAAAUUACUUCAUUUUAUUUAACAGUGGGGAUUUAUGCAAUACUUUUUUUUUUAAAAAAUGAGACCGGCUAUUCCUCCACUGCUGGUCACAUUAUUAAGAGUGUAUAGAGUGUAAUGGCUCAAUGCUGAGAGCUCGGAUGGACACCUCAUGCCAGGACCUGUGUCGCUCACUCGCCAGCCAAAAUGAAAACAUAGACAUCUCACAGUCGGUGCUCUACACCUCCCUCAUGGGCUUGUUGCUGGUGGCUGACAAAGAGAGAGAGCUAACACUGGCCAGUGGACAAGUUGGACUGCAUAAUGCUGGGAACACAUGUUUUCUGAAUGCCAUUGUGCAGUGUCUCUCCCACACUCAGGGUCUUAGAGACUACUGUCUGACUAAAACCUAUCUUCAGGACAUGUGCUCCAGUCAAGAGCCAGAGCUGAUGAAUGAAUUCACCAAAGUUUUGGAAGGGCUGUGGUGCACAGAUGAAGGGAAAAGGACAGUCAAUCCUGAAC
Molecule: long non-coding RNA, 1154 nt
Organism: Ictalurus punctatus (channel catfish)
Lineage: Eukaryota; Metazoa; Chordata; Actinopteri; Siluriformes; Ictaluridae
Source: Ensembl